RNAcentral lists this unclassified non-coding RNA (375 nucleotides) under soil metagenome. RNAcentral describes it as "partial internal transcribed spacer 1". The stretch from base 1 to 120 matches the Rfam family "5.8S ribosomal RNA", at positions 35 to 154 of the family's 154-position model. The record is from RNAcentral.
GAUGAAGAACGUAGUGAAAUGCGAUAAUUGAUGUGAAUUGCAGAAUUCCGUGAAUCAUCGAGUCUUUGAACGCACAUUGCGCCUCAUGGCAUUCCGUGAGGCAUGCCCAUCUCAGUGUUAGAAAAUAUUCUCAAAUUUUAGUUUUGUGCUAAAAUUUGGAUCAUGUCAAGGAAGCUAUUACUAUUAUUGUGAUCGCUCUUUGGAAAUUGAUAGGUCUUUGAGUUGCUACUCAUAGAACGUGAUGAAUCUUUCUUCGUUCUAUUGUAAUUCACUCUGGUAGUCCUAAAACUUGUAUGCCUGUGGCAUAUCUUGUAAUUUGACCUGAGAUUGGGUAGGGAUACCUGCUGAACUUAAGCAUAUCAAUAAGCCGGAGGA